AUUAAACGCUGGCGGCAUGCCUUACACAUGCAAGUCGAACGGUAGCGCGGGGCAACCUGGCGACGAGUGGCGAACGGGUGAGUAAAGCAUCGGAACGUGCCCUGGAAUGGGGGAUAACGUAGCGAAAGUUACGCUAAUACCGCAUAUUCUGUGAGCAGGAAAGCAGGGGAUCGCAAGACCUUGCGUUCUGGGAGCGGCCGAUGUCGGAUUAGCUAGUUGGUGGGGUAAAAGCCUACCAAGGCGACGAUCCGUAGCGGGUCUGAGAGGAUGAUCCGCCACACUGGGACUGAGACACGGCCCAGACUCCUACGGGAGGCAGCAGUGGGGAAUUUUGGACAAUGGGCGGAAGCCUGAUCCAGCCAUGCCGCGUGAGUGAAGAAGGCCUGGUUGUAAG
This 394-nucleotide ribosomal RNA is filed under the name uncultured bacterium. RNAcentral describes it as "bacterial SSU rRNA". It matches the Rfam family "Bacterial small subunit ribosomal RNA", at positions 29 to 429 of the family's 1533-position model. The record is from RNAcentral.